GGACUACCCGGGUAUCUAAUCCCGUUCGCUCCCCUGGCUUUCGCGUCUCAGCGUCAGAAAGGGUCCAGGCGCUCGCUUUCGCCGCGGGCGUUCCUCACGAUCUCAACGCAUUUCACCGCUCCACCGUGAGUUCCAGCGCCCCCUACCCCCCUCCAGCCCGGCCGUAUCGGCGCCCCUUCCCCGGUUGAGCCGGGGGAUUUCAGCGUCCGACGCGCCGGGCCGCCUACACGCGCUUUAAGCCCAGUGAUUCCGAAUAACGUUCGCACGGUUCGUCUUACCGCGGCUGCUGGCAC
RNAcentral lists this ribosomal RNA (293 nucleotides) under uncultured Planctomycetota bacterium. Its description in RNAcentral is "uncultured planctomycete partial 16S ribosomal RNA". Lineage: Bacteria; Pseudomonadati; Planctomycetota. The record is from RNAcentral.